GCCGAGCUCUAUAGCGAGAGCUUGUAACCCGAGCGGGGGCACCAAGGUGGUCAAACGUUGGUUCAAUUCCGACCGGCAGGAUUAGGUUAGAGUAAUUUGUUGGCACGCCCGUUCCAAGUAGGGAGUUGAGCCACGAGACUUGAGCGAAAGCUUGGUUUUCAUGGGUUCUUAGAGAGGAGGGGACCGCGUCAGGCUGGUUUCACAGAGCCAGCGACAACCUCCUGCUCCCGUCGGUGGAAGGAUUACGAGCCGGUACUCCCCUCAUCCACACAUUGCCCUAGGGGUCGAGUCCAAUUGGACGAUCACCUUU
Molecule: signal recognition particle RNA, 310 nt
Filed under: Nelumbo nucifera (sacred lotus)
Lineage: Eukaryota; Viridiplantae; Streptophyta; Magnoliopsida; Proteales; Nelumbonaceae
Description: Plant signal recognition particle RNA
Rfam family: Plant signal recognition particle RNA
Source: Rfam by way of RNAcentral